CUCCAUGUCUCUUGACGGAUGUUGGCCUUCACUGGUGUCACCUUGGACGCAGUUUCUUCCUCGUAAUAUUCGUUUUUAUAACUUCAGUCAGCGGGACGUCCUGGUCGGAAUGGUGGAGCUAUGACAGCAUUUCAGGCCCAGACUUCUGGGGCUUGAUCAACACGG
Long non-coding RNA from Liolophura sinensis, 165 nucleotides. RefSeq lists it as uncharacterized. The transcript is spliced from 3 exons. The record is from RefSeq and is a predicted model, not a curated record. Lineage: Eukaryota; Metazoa; Mollusca; Polyplacophora; Chitonida; Chitonidae.